GAUGAACGCUGGCGGCGUGCCUAAUACAUGCAAGUCGAGCGAACAGACGAGGAGCUUGCUCCUCUGACGUUAGCGGCGGACGGGUGAGUAACACGUGGAUAACCUACCUAUAAGACUGGGAUAACUUCGGGAAACCGGAGCUAAUACCGGAUAAUAUAUUGAACCGCAUGGUUCAAUAGUGAAAGACGGUUUUGCUGUCACUUAUAGAUGGAUCCGCGCCGCAUUAGCUAGUUGGUAAGGUAACGGCUUACCAAGGCGACGAUGCGUAGCCGACCUGAGAGGGGGAGCGGCAAAAAUGGAAAUGAGACACGGCACAGACUCAGAGGGGGGGCAGCAGGAGGGAAUUUCACGAAAGGGGGGAAAGCCUGACGGAGCAACGCCGGGGGAGGGAAGAAGGUCUGCGGAUGGGAAAACUUUGUUAUUAGGGAAAAAAAAAUGUGAAAGUAACUAUGCACGUUUUGACGGUACCAAAACAAAAAGCCACGGCUAAAUACGU
RNAcentral lists this ribosomal RNA (496 nucleotides) under uncultured bacterium. RNAcentral's name for it is "partial 16S ribosomal RNA". It matches the Rfam family "Bacterial small subunit ribosomal RNA", at positions 28 to 506 of the family's 1533-position model. The record is from RNAcentral.